Molecule: ribosomal RNA, 301 nt
Filed under: uncultured bacterium
Lineage: Bacteria
Description: partial 16S ribosomal RNA
Rfam family: Bacterial small subunit ribosomal RNA
Source: RNAcentral
CAGCAGCCACGGUAAUACGAAGGGGGCUAGCGCUGUUCGGAUUUACUGGGCGUAAAGCGCACGUAGGCGGAUCGUUAAGUCGGGGGUGAAAUCCUGGAGCUCAACUCCAGAACUGCCUUCGAUACUGGCGAUCUUGAGUAUGGUAGAGGUGAGUGGAAUUCCGAGUGUAGAGGUGAAAUUCGUAGGUAUUCGCAAGAACACCAGUGGCGAAGGCGGCUCACUGGCCCGGUACUGACGCUGAGGCGCGAAAGCGUGGGGAGCAAACAGGAUUAGAUACCCCAGUAGUCCCUGUCUCUUAUAC